RNAcentral lists this ribosomal RNA (2596 nucleotides) under Staphylococcus aureus. Its description in RNAcentral is "partial 23S ribosomal RNA". It matches the Rfam family "Bacterial large subunit ribosomal RNA", at positions 322 to 2925 of the family's 2925-position model. The record is from RNAcentral. Lineage: Bacteria; Bacillati; Bacillota; Bacilli; Caryophanales; Staphylococcaceae.
GACGACAUUAGACGAAUCAUCUGGAAAGAUGAAUCAAAGAAGGUAAUAAUCCUGUAGUCGAAAAUGUUGUCUCUCUUGAGUGGAUCCUGAGUACGACGGAGCACGUGAAAUUCCGUCGGAAUCUGGGAGGACCAUCUCCUAAGGCUAAAUACUCUCUAGUGACCGAUAGUGAACCAGUACCGUGAGGGAAAGGUGAAAAGCACCCCGGAAGGGGAGUGAAAUAGAACCUGAAACCGUGUGCUUACAAGUAGUCAGAGCCCGUUAAUGGGUGAUGGCGUGCCUUUUGUAGAAUGAACCGGCGAGUUACGAUUUGAUGCAAGGUUAAGCAGUAAAUGUGGAGCCGUAGCGAAAGCGAGUCUGAAUAGGGCGUUUAGUAUUUGGUCGUAGACCCGAAACCAGGUGAUCUACCCUUGGUCAGGUUGAAGUUCAGGUAACACUGAAUGGAGGACCGAACCGACUUACGUUGAAAAGUGAGCGGAUGAACUGAGGGUAGCGGAGAAAUUCCAAUCGAACCUGGAGAUAGCUGGUUCUCUCCGAAAUAGCUUUAGGGCUAGCCUCAAGUGAUGAUUAUUGGAGGUAGAGCACUGUUUGGACGAGGGGCCCCUCUCGGGUUACCGAAUUCAGACAAACUCCGAAUGCCAAUUAAUUUAACUUGGGAGUCAGAACAUGGGUGAUAAGGUCCGUGUUCGAAAGGGAAACAGCCCAGACCACCAGCUAAGGUCCCAAAAUAUAUGUUAAGUGGAAAAGGAUGUGGCGUUGCCCAGACAACUAGGAUGUUGGCUUAGAAGCAGCCAUCAUUUAAAGAGUGCGUAAUAGCUCACUAGUCGAGUGACACUGCGCCGAAAAUGUACCGGGGCUAAACAUAUUACCGAAGCUGUGGAUUGUCCUUUGGACAAUGGUAGGAGAGCGUUCUAAGGGCGUUGAAGCAUGAUCGUAAGGACAUGUGGAGCGCUUAGAAGUGAGAAUGCCGGUGUGAGUAGCGAAAGACGGGUGAGAAUCCCGUCCACCGAUUGACUAAGGUUUCCAGAGGAAGGCUCGUCCGCUCUGGGUUAGUCGGGUCCUAAGCUGAGGCCGACAGGCGUAGGCGAUGGAUAACAGGUUGAUAUUCCUGUACCACCUAUAAUCGUUUUAAUCGAUGGGGGGACGCAGUAGGAUAGGCGAAGCGUGCGAUUGGAUUGCACGUCUAAGCAGUAAGGCUGAGUAUUAGGCAAAUCCGGUACUCAUUAAGGCUGAGCUGUGAUGGGGAGAAGACAUUGUGUCUUCGAGUCGUUGAUUUCACACUGCCGAGAAAAGCCUCUAGAUAGAAAAUAGGUGCCCGUACCGCAAACCGACACAGGUAGUCAAGAUGAGAAUUCUAAGGUGAGCGAGCGAACUCUCGUUAAGGAACUCGGCAAAAUGACCCCGUAACUUCGGGAGAAGGGGUGCUCUUUAGGGUUAACGCCCAGAAGAGCCGCAGUGAAUAGGCCCAAGCGACUGUUUAUCAAAAACACAGGUCUCUGCUAAACCGUAAGGUGAUGUAUAGGGGCUGACGCCUGCCCGGUGCUGGAAGGUUAAGAGGAGUGGUUAGCUUCUGCGAAGCUACGAAUCGAAGCCCCAGUAAACGGCGGCCGUAACUAUAACGGUCCUAAGGUAGCGAAAUUCCUUGUCGGGUAAGUUCCGACCCGCACGAAAGGCGUAACGAUUUGGGCACUGUCUCAACGAGAGACUCGGUGAAAUCAUAGUACCUGUGAAGAUGCAGGUUACCCGCGACAGGACGGAAAGACCCCGUGGAGCUUUACUGUAGCCUGAUAUUGAAAUUCGGCACAGCUUGUACAGGAUAGGUAGGAGCCUUUGAAACGUGAGCGCUAGCUUACGUGGAGGCGCUGGUGGGAUACUACCCUAGCUGUGUUGGCUUUCUAACCCGCACCACUUAUCGUGGUGGGAGACAGUGUCAGGCGGGCAGUUUGACUGGGGCGGUCGCCUCCUAAAAGGUAACGGAGGCGCUCAAAGGUUCCCUCAGAAUGGUUGGAAAUCAUUCAUAGAGUGUAAAGGCAUAAGGGAGCUUGACUGCGAGACCUACAAGUCGAGCAGGGUCGAAAGACGGACUUAGUGAUCCGGUGGUUCCGCAUGGAAGGGCCAUCGCUCAACGGAUAAAAGCUACCCCGGGGAUAACAGGCUUAUCUCCCCCAAGAGUUCACAUCGACGGGGAGGUUUGGCACCUCGAUGUCGGCUCAUCGCAUCCUGGGGCUGUAGUCGGUCCCAAGGGUUGGGCUGUUCGCCCAUUAAAGCGGUACGCGAGCUGGGUUCAGAACGUCGUGAGACAGUUCGGUCCCUAUCCGUCGUGGGCGUAGGAAAUUUGAGAGGAGCUGUCCUUAGUACGAGAGGACCGGGAUGGACAUACCUCUGGUGUACCAGUUGUCGUGCCAACGGCAUAGCUGGGUAGCUAUGUGUGGACGGGAUAAGUGCUGAAAGCAUCUAAGCAUGAAGCCCCCCUCAAGAUGAGAUUUCCCAACUUCGGUUAUAAGAUCCCUCAAAGAUGAUGAGGUUAAUAGGUUCGAGGUGGAAGCAUGGUGACAUGUGGAGCUGACGAAUACUAAUCGAUCGAAGACUUAAUCAA